This is a long non-coding RNA of Tetranychus urticae (two-spotted spider mite), 3709 nucleotides long. RefSeq lists it as uncharacterized. The record is from RefSeq and is a predicted model, not a curated record. Lineage: Eukaryota; Metazoa; Arthropoda; Arachnida; Trombidiformes; Tetranychidae.
AGAAGCUUUAUUUUUAAUUUUAAACAUUUAAUCAAAGAAAAUUUGUUUGAUUGAAACAAUCGACACUGUCAAUCAACUGUCAUCUGUUUUCAAGUUUUUUUCAUUAAUGUGUUCAAUUAAAUGGUUUGGAUUAACCUUUUCCUGGUCAAAUCAUGGUUUGGUGUUUAAUCUUUUGAUUAGCUUUCUUUGGUUAAUUGUCAUAAUCAAUCCAUGUCGAGUCGCUCUUUGUACCUACAAUAUGCUACAAUUGGUUUAAUAAUUGGUUUAAUAAUUGGUCUAAUAAGUGCUGUAACAGUUUGAAUGUUUAACCGUUUUGUUCAAGUGGACUCAAUCGAUGAAUUAGAGCUUACUCAAUGAUUAACCAGUAUUAACUUACUCAAAGCAACUUGGACCUUUACUUGGAAGAAAAAAUUUGGGUUCUGAAGCAUCUUAUGGGGACAAGAAUGUUGAUGACCAAUAAGCUUAAUCAACUUUUGGCACUCUCAAGUGAUCGCGUUUUAAGGAAACAGAAAACGUAAAAUUAUCAUGCCAGUUAAUCCUCUAGUUAAACUGUAUGCUGCUGUUUAAAUGGAAUACAUCUGGCAAGAAUUAUUGGUUGGUCAAAUGUAAUUCUUUGGCCAAUAAAUGUUUUUAAUGUGGCUAAUCUUGGACUUGAUGUGUUACCUCAAGUGCUUUUGUUAACCCUGGCUGAUAAAAACAAAAGUGAAUAACAAUCAAGAAGACUGUACAAGUAACCGGUUUCUGUAUGUAUAACUGUAAUCAAUUGGUAAUACAGCAGUUAAGCAAAGCAAAAAAAAUUGAACUUAAAUUAAGUUUAACAUUAACUUAAAAGUUUACCCAAAGAAACUGCCUCUUACCAAUAAACUUGCCAUUACUUGCCUUGAAGAUGCCCAAUUACAAAGAGAAAGAAAAAAGAGAAAGAGACUUGGAGCUGUAAUUAUUAUUAUAAUUAGUCUGAGCGCAAGCAAAGACCUACAAGAUACGUCCUACCGGUCCAGAAACUACAUAACCCAGGUCCUUCAAACUCGGCCCAUAGAUAGCUGACAUGAAUAAAUAAGCAAAUAAAGGAAACCUGGGAGUGAACGAUCAAAUAAAGGCAAGCAAAAGAGGUCAAACCAAGUGGAUUAGAUUGUUUAAGAUCUCAACUUUGAAAAGUUUGAUCAUUUUCUUGGUUCAUAUCAUCACCGUUAUCAUCUUACAGUCAUCUAAAAACUAUGGAUUCAAAUUCUUAGGUAAUAGGAUCUUAAUUGGACCCAUCUGACCUACAACUUAUCAUCUACAACUGUUAUUUGACUUGCAUCAAUUCGCUGUUUACCAUUUAAAAUCUAUCAAGUAAAAAGCUGACUCACAGGAUGGUCAAGAUUAAAAAGACGGUCACUCUCAUCAUAAUGAAUUAUUUCCAAUAAUUUAUCUUCUGGUGAAUAUGCACUCAAGUAAUAUUAGACGGAGUAGAUGUUGACAAAAAUGGACACAUUCCAAUGAGAUUGCAAUAUAAUUGCCUGUUUCAACUUGAAAUAAUCAUGACACAAAUAUUUUACUUCGAUCUUACAGUCAAAGCUUCUCUUGUACACAGUGCGUGUUAGAUAUUGUCAAAGUUGACCGUAAUCUUGACAAAUCCAUAUUCAUCGCCAUUAUUAUAAUCAAGAGGAAUAAUGCAAAUUGAGUGAAUAAUUACCUUUCGAUAAAAGUAACUGUACAUCCGCAUAGUUUCAUCUGUAAAGAGAAAGAAGGAAAAAUGCAAUCAAUUAGUUGAUGGGAACAAUUAAUUACCAAUAAAGGGAUCAGUAGAUGGCUUGAAUACAAUAGCAAUAACAAUUUUGGCUUUGAUUCGCUAUGAUGCUGCUUGUGAUUAUCUGUUUACUGGUCAAAAGCUUGUUAAUUAUUGGCAUCUUAAUUGUAAACAAAAUUAAUUUACAAUCAACUUUCAUCAUUACAUUGUUGCUUUCAAUCAUCAAUAACUUGGAUCAUGUUGGGCUUGUUGCUGCUGUUAAUAAUACAUUAAUAUCAUUAUUACUAUUAAGUAAAUGAUAGGAUCAACAGAACAUUACAACACGAGUGGAAUUAAUAAAAGGCUGGAUCCAGUUAAAAGGACUAACCGUGAUUAACUGAUUGUUUAAGGUUGAUUAAAUUGAACAUAAGAAAUGAUUUUUAUGGUUUAAUAAUCAUUUAAAUAUCAUCAUCAAAAUGGUUCCUUUUUUUGUUCCGUCCAGUGAAACCAAAUUUCAUGCUGUGUUUAAAGUCAAUCAGACAUAAAUCAUCCUUUUUUCGCAUCUUUGAUCAUUUAAUUUGAUAUAUAUAUAUUUAUAUUUAUAUAUAUAUAUAUGUAUUUAUAUAUCAUCCAACUGGUUUAAAGAGAUUACAUGAUGUUCAAGUCUGAUGAUGAUUCUGAUUAUAAUGAUGAUUAUGAUCAAGAGAAAGUCAGACCUUUAAUUGACCUGAUUUAAUUUUGAAAGGAAGAAAAGAUUUUAACUCUUUAAUAAGAUCUUCUCGAUUCUGCUUCGGCAAAAUGAUGUUACAAUUUUGAUUAGACUUUUUCGGCCUGUUGUAAUUGUUACUGAUUGUUGAUAAUAAUGAUGAUUAACAUGAUAUAUCAACCAACAACAAAAACCUAUCUUGGCUCAUUCAAAACUUGCAACAAUCAAAAAAAGCAAUCAUUUAACUUAUGAUUUACAGUCUAUUUUUUCACCCCAAAAACACUAUUACUUUUCAUUGUUGAUCGCAACUAUCCGAACAAUCCUUUACAACUUUAUCAUCAUUAUACCUUAAAUUGGUAAUUGUAAAGUUAACUGAAAGAUUGACUUGAAAAGCGAGGAAAAACUAUUCUCCAGAAACUAAAUCAAACUUUGGUAACAGCUUUUCGUUAAUGGCCUGACUAUCAAGAUUAUCAUGAUUUACAGUCAUUUGCUUAAUCAGCCACAAUAAAAUCACAAUUGUCAAGAUAUGAAGUGCAACAAUCAACACCAACGUUCAAUUGUUUACUCCUAAAUCAACCAACGCUGACCCGAUUAUUGAGAUCUGCUAGGAUUAACAUUUAACCUCAACAGGUUUACAAUGAGAUAAAGACAAUAGUAAAUCAGUUGAAUCACAAUUUGGUUAAUCGUUGAAUAACUAAAAAAUUAUUCACUAGUUGACUAGCGACAGUCAAGAUUAAAAGAUCAACAAUUGUAACUCUAAUGGUAACUUAAAUAGCAACUUUAAUGGUAAUCUUAAUAAUAGCAAUCUUAAUAGAUUAAAUGGGUUGAAUGGGAAUAAUGGACUUUGAAGAUUACCAGGAAAAAGCCAGCGAAAUAUCAAGACAAUACUCGAAACAUUGGGUUAAUCGUUUGUGUUAAAAACAAUUGUUGAAUGUGGAUAAACUCAGAUAUAGAUUAUGUUUAGUUAAAGGUAAAAAAUAUUCACAAUUAACGGUUAAAUCGACGUAAUUUCACUUAAAAUGAAAGUGUUAUUUGAUUGUAUUUUUACGUGAAGAAGAAGCAAUCGGUUUGUUCCUUAUGAAUGCAUUACUGUUAAUGAGUUUAUUCAUCUCUUGUUUUGUUUUUAUUUGUAUUUCUUGAAACCAUUGAUUAUGGUUAUGAUUACUGAUCAUCUUUAUAAUCAUUGUUAUCAUGUGUAAACGUGCAAACAAUCAACAAUACAGUUGAAUGGAUAAUUAUUGGUUUGUCGAAGUUUCAAUUUACCAUUCAAAAUAUACCUCAUUUUGAGCCAUUUU